Molecule: small nucleolar RNA, 67 nt
Filed under: Dasypus novemcinctus (nine-banded armadillo)
Lineage: Eukaryota; Metazoa; Chordata; Mammalia; Cingulata; Dasypodidae
Description: Small nucleolar RNA SNORD95 (ENSDNOG00000037277.1)
Rfam family: Small nucleolar RNA SNORD95
About the family: snoRNA U95 (also referred to as Z38 ) is a member of the C/D class of snoRNA which contain the C (UGAUGA) and D (CUGA) box motifs. This family is predicted to target two neighbouring 2'-O-methylations, Cm2801 and Am2792, in 28S rRNA.
Source: RNAcentral
GAGCAGUGAUGAUCUCAACAUGCCAUCUGAGUGACUGUGCUGAGAACCAGAGGCUGUUUCUGAGCUG